Molecule: unclassified non-coding RNA, 378 nt
Filed under: plant metagenome
Description: partial contains 5.8S ribosomal RNA, internal transcribed spacer 2, and large subunit ribosomal RNA
Rfam family: 5.8S ribosomal RNA (bases 1-105)
Source: RNAcentral
GAAAUGCGAUAAGUAAUGUGAAUUGCAGAAUUCAGUGAAUCAUCGAAUCUUUGAACGCAGCUUGCGCUCCUUGGUAUUCCUUGGAGCAUGCCUGUUUGAGUAUCAUGAAAUCUUCAAAGUAAAUCUUUUGUUAACUCAAUUGGUUUCUACUUUGGUAUUGGAGGUCUUUGCAGCUUCACACCUGCUCCUCUUUGUUCAUUAGCUGGAUCUCAGUGUUAUGCUUGGUUCCACUCGGCGUGAUAAGUUAUCUAUCGCUGAGGACACUGUAAAAGGUGGCCAAGGUAAAUGCAGAUGAACCGCUUCUAAUAGUCCAUUGACUUGGACAAUACUUUUAUGAUCUGAUCUCAAAUCAGGUAGGACUACCCACUGAACUUAAGC